RNAcentral lists this ribosomal RNA (497 nucleotides) under uncultured bacterium. RNAcentral describes it as "partial 16S ribosomal RNA". It matches the Rfam family "Bacterial small subunit ribosomal RNA", at positions 28 to 507 of the family's 1533-position model. The record is from RNAcentral.
GAUGAACGCUGGCGGCGUGCCUAAUACAUGCAAGUCGAGCGAACAGACGAGGAGCUUGCUCCUCUGACGUUAGCGGCGGACGGGUGAGUAACACGUGGAUAACCUACCUAUAAGACUGGGAUAACUUCGGGAAACCGGAGCUAAUACCGGAUAAUAUAUUGAACCGCAGGGUUCAAUAGUGAAAGACGGUUUUGCUGUCACUUAUAGAUGGAUCCGCGCCGCAUUAGCUAGUUGGUAAGGUAACGGCUUACCAAGGCGACGAUGCGUAGCCGACCUGAGAGGGUGAUCGGCCACACUGGAACUGAGACACGGUCCAGACUCCUACGGGAGGCAGCAGUAGGGAAUCUUCCGCAAUGGGCGAAAGCCUGACGGAGCCACGCCGCGUGAGUGAUGAAGGUCUUCGGAUCGUAAAGCUCUGUUAUUAGGGAAGAACAAAUGUGUAAGUAACUAUGCACGUCUUGACGGUACCUAAUCAGAAAGCCACGGCUAACUACGUG